AAACUGAUUUAGUCUGUGACCUGUGAACCUCUUCUGUGGAUUUCAAUAAGAGAAACAAAUGCAUUCCAGAGUUUGAAUGUAUUUCUUUACAUGAAGAGGACCUAGGGAUGAAAAAGUGAAUUCAGUUUUGUUUUAUAAUUUCUCACCUCUCAGCACAUCAGAAGUAAAUAUUGGCCCUGCACACUUGGAUCCUUCUAAGCAGUGGAUGCUUCUGUCAGGCUGAGACUAAGGUCUCAGGAGGAAAAGGAAACGAACCCAUUUUCUCAGCACACCAUCUAGAAUUGAAAGCCAAGAAGAGAUAUGCAAAUGUUCAGGUUUCUAAUAGCUCAUCAUCUGGAAACAACUAAAUAUUAAUGACACACAUUUAAGAUUAACAACAGCAGAGCAUUUACCUCUUUCUCCUUAGAGAAUUAUAACAAGUUAUUUUAAUGCUCUUACAAACGAAAUGAUGAAUUUUAAGAGAGAGCUAACAAACAGAAAUUCCCUUUUAAGGAAUUUUUUUUUUUCAUUUCAAG
RNAcentral lists this long non-coding RNA (515 nucleotides) under Pan troglodytes (chimpanzee). RNAcentral's name for it is "lncRNA (ENSPTRG00000053831.1)". Lineage: Eukaryota; Metazoa; Chordata; Mammalia; Primates; Hominidae. The record is from RNAcentral.